Molecule: long non-coding RNA, 2547 nt
Filed under: Salvia miltiorrhiza (redroot sage)
Lineage: Eukaryota; Viridiplantae; Streptophyta; Magnoliopsida; Lamiales; Lamiaceae
Description: long non-coding RNA (SMIL_LNC007892)
Rfam family: Small nucleolar RNA R24 (bases 763-854)
Source: RNAcentral
CAGCUUUGAAUCCCCAAUCUACACAGCUCACUCUACUGCAUCGGCUGUGGCGGCUGAAUACUCUCUUCUUUAGCUCGAUAAUUUAUUGCGAUUUUGUAGUUCUAGAGCUCGAACAAUAGCGAAGCUAUGAAUUUUUGCCCCAUUUCAACGUUUCACGGUGAGUUCCGAGCUGUGCGGUUUCAAUUUACAGACCUCUCUAAGCUUUCUCGAUCAGAUCUCUCUUGAUUCGUCGGAAAUCGAAGUUCUCCGUAUUCUGUUUGUCGGUUUCUCUCUCUUUACGAUAUUUCAUCGGAAGUGAGAGAGAGAAUGCGGCGAUGGCUCCAUUUCGAGUCAGCAGCAGGUGCCAAUUUCUCAUGGCGACCCGUCUGCCGCUUGGAGCCUAAAUCAAUUCAACCGGUUUGAAGAUCCACGAAACCCUAAUUUUUUCCCGUUGUUUCUUGAUACAAUAAACCGGCUUCAUUUUCUAAAUUAUCGAUUAUUUUAUUUUCUACUUGCUAAUUUCUUUGCGUAAUUUUUUUUUUCAAAAUGAUGAAAAAUUUGUCGAAAUUGGAAUGAAGAAAGGCACUCCAGUCAGACACGGGUUGUUUGUAUUGAAUUUCAACGACAAACCACCUUUUGCAUGGUGCCGAAAUUCAGCUACUUAUCACGAUUGGAGCGAAGCUCUUUUUCACAGUUUCUCUUCAAAUUUGCGGUAGCUAAAUUUUUUUCAUAUCUAUUUUUUACAUGUUUUAAUUCAUAUUUAAAAAGUAUUUUUCGAUUUUUUUUGCUGUGAUGAGAUGCUAACACGUAAGAGGUAGCAACUUUGUGUUGUUACCUCGAUGAAAUCCAUUUGUUACGCUUGGCUUCUGAGCAUAUUCUUUUAUAACUUGAAAAAUCUUGAGCUUAUUUAAUAUUCACAAUUCACCAAUUUUUACUUUCAAAUAAAUUUACUAGGUAUCAAACUAGCUUAUUUCAUAUGAUAUAUUUAAAGAUUAUCUCUAAUCAAAUAAAAAUUUUAAAAAUUGAUUAUUUGUGUGAAAGCACAAAAUUAUCCCUCACAAUAAAAAUUAAAAAAAUUGUCAAUUUUUUAUCUUCUCUCAAUUUUUCCAUACCACUGUUUUUCUCUCUCUCUCACUCUCGCACAUUCUCUUCAUAUCUUCUUCUCUCUCUCUCUCCCCGAACACAAACUAGAUAGUCCAUUUUCUAAUUAUGCUUUUGAUUAAGUCAACAACGAGCAUAUUGAUUUAAUUCAUAAAUUCAAAUGCAUUCUCUCUAUUGAUUCGCAUCGCCAACCGUAGUGUGUUAAUUAUGUGCGUCUCUUUGUAUUUUUGUAUGUGUGUGUUUCAGUAUUUAGGAAUGUUGAUUUCUAUUUUAUCGGUGAUAAAAAGUAGAAGAUGAUGAUAAUCUUAGCAAUGUGCAGACGCAGCAUCUGCUGGAAGUUAUUCUGGUUAUGCGAUGAGCGGCACUUUCCACACGAGAUUUCUGAUUCUCAGUUACUUUUUACGUUUGUACUUUUUCUCGAAAUUUAUCAACCAAAUAAUGUUAGCUGAAUCUUUAAUUGAAAUUUCACUUGACGUUUUCACUAAUCGAUUUGGUUAAUUGAGUCGGUUAUUUGCGUAACCGAGCAAUCAAAAAAAUGAACUUUAAAUCUGUAUCUAACGCAGUCAUUUCCAAAUAAGAAAACAUAGCAGAAUCUCAAUAGGAACUAAAAAAUUUAAAAAUAUGUUUCAUUAUUUACUUGAAUAAUCAAAUGUAAAUUAAAAAAUAUGUUUCAUUAUUUAUGAAAAUGCAAGGGAUGGUGAAGAAUAAAUAAUCUACUUGAAUAAUCAAAUUUGACUAUGCUCAGAAAAUAAUGAAAAUAAGAAGGAAUAAUAAAAUAGAGAGAUAAUUGGUAGUAGAAGGCAGAGGUGGAUGAAGAGUAGGUUCUACUAAAGAGCAAUAGUGAGUGAAAUUAUUUUCACUAACGUGCAGAUUUUUAAGAGUGAUAGUGAGUGGAAUUUGAGAAUGAAUCAAUAUAUCCAACCAUUUGUCGGGUCCACCACUAUACAACAAUAUUUCGAAAAACAUUUAAAUGUGUUGUUAAUAUAAGACAACUAUUCAGUUAAAUUCAAAGCGCCUCUAUUUCAAAAUCGAGCAUUUUGUAGAAGAGGCAAUAAAGGGGAUCGCCAAAAUUAUGCAUGAGAACAAGAAUGAAUAAUUUUCAACUUUGCAUCAGAGCAGAUGAGAGAUAGUUGACCAAAAGCUGAUUCGAGGUUGUAUAAAUGGUUGAUCACAUACACAGAGCUGUUUUUAUCUUUAUUUUAAAUAUUGAACUCAUUCAGAAGUAUUUUUACGUUUAUAUUUCAAGAAUUGAGCUCACUCAAUUCCCAGAGAUUACUCAUAACAGAGUUAUUUUUCUUCUUUGAUCAAUAAGCUCACUCAGACCUCAUUUUUACUUGUAUGUUAUGACAAUUGAGUUCACUCAAAGCCGAGUUUCACCUGCAUUUGGUAGAUACCAUACUUAAUCAUUUGAAUGUAUAGCAUGCUCCCUCGAUCUUUAAAUAAGUGUCAUAUGACACAAAAUUAUAC